This 55-nucleotide transfer RNA is filed under the name Scolytus schevyrewi. Its description in RNAcentral is "tRNA-Ser". The record is from RNAcentral. Lineage: Eukaryota; Metazoa; Arthropoda; Insecta; Coleoptera; Curculionidae.
GGGCUAUAAUUUAAAGCUUCUAACUUUAUCUAGAGCAAUCCAUGUUCAUAGCCCU